Molecule: ribosomal RNA, 490 nt
Filed under: uncultured bacterium
Lineage: Bacteria
Description: partial 16S ribosomal RNA
Rfam family: Bacterial small subunit ribosomal RNA
Source: RNAcentral
GUGAACGCUGGCGGUAGGCCUAACACAUGCAAGUCGAACGGCAGCACAGUAAGAGCUUGCUCUUACGGGUGGCGAGUGGCGGACGGGUGAGGAAUACAUCGGAAUCUACUUUUUCGUGGGGGAUAACGUAGGGAAACUUACGCUAAUACCGCAUACGACCUACGGGUGAAAGCAGGGGAUCUUCGGACCUUGCGCGAUUGAAUGAGCCGAUGUCGGAUUAGCUAGUUGGCGGGGUAAAGGCCCACCAAGGCGACGAUCCGUAGCUGGUCUGAGAGGAUGAUCAGCCACACUGGAACUGAGACACGGUCCAGACUCCUACGGGAGGCAGCAGUGGGAAUAUUGGACAAUGGGCGCAAGCCUGAUCCAGCCAUACCGCGUGGGUGAAGAAGGCCUUCGGGUUGUAAAGCCCUUUUGUUGGGAAAGAAAAGCAGCAGGUUAAUACCCCGCUGUUCUGACGGUACCCAAAGAAUAAGCACCGGCUAACUUCGUG